Molecule: non-coding RNA, 1545 nt
Organism: Oryza sativa Japonica Group (Japanese rice)
Lineage: Eukaryota; Viridiplantae; Streptophyta; Magnoliopsida; Poales; Poaceae
Source: RefSeq, a predicted model, not a curated record
ACUAUAGAAACCGCACCCCACUUCUUCCCCAACUCUCCAUUAUUUUCGGAUCGAGGCCCAACCGCAGCCGGCCAAGCCGCUCCGCGUCGUUUCCAUCGCCGCCGCCGCGGUCGUCAUGGCCCCGGCCGACACUCUGAGGCGGGGGCGCGUCUCGGUCUCCGUCCGUGCGUCCGCCAUGGCGGUGGCGUUGGCACCGAGAAGGAAGACGGAUCCGGUGGGCGACGAGAAGGCCGUGGUGGGAGCUGUGGGAAGCUGCUGGCGUGCCUCCCUGAUGCCGGUGGCUGUGGGAGCCGGCGGCGCUCCCAUCGGUCACUGGAGGAGGCUCGGAGAAGGGCUCCCUUCCCAACUCCGGCCAUGAAUCGGCGACGGCACCGGUGGGAUCUUGUGAGGAGGGGGCUGUGGUUGGCGACGGCAUAAGGGAGCGGCGGGCGGACGACGGCGGCCUACAAGGGCUCGUCAGGCCAUCCCCCGCCCGGAUCCGGCGGUGGGCGUCGUCUCCCGCCCGGAUCCGGUGACGGCAGCGGUGGGCGGCUCGGGAGCAAAAUCCUAGCUCCCGCCGUCGCCACCCUCCUUCCCCCCUCUCCUCCACCUCCCCGUCGUCGAAGCGCGUCGCUGGGAGAGCCAGGCGGCGAGCCGGGAUGGCGGUGGCGGGGCCAUCUUCUCUGCCUCCCCGCGCCGGUGGAUGAGGAACAGGAGGGGAUGAGGAUCCAGCGACGACUCGGCGACGAGGAGAUUUGGGCGGUGGAUCCGGUGAUGUCGAGGUGCGUGGGCGCCGGAUCUGGCAGCGUCGGCGUCGUCCUUCGCUCUGCCUCUGCUUCGUCGACUACUCGGCCGGCAGUGGCGACGUCGUGGAGGAUGUCGUCUCCAGCUAGAGGGCGUCCACCCGUGAACCUGCGACGGGAUGGGUGGGGAUGGAUCAGCGCCUCGACUGCUCCUUGGCCGACGACAGCCGCUGCCCUGACGACGUCCUUAGCCCUCGUCGGCGGCCGCCGUUCCGCCUCCAUCACCCACUUCUGUCACCUUCGUCCGCGCGCGGCUGCCAGACGGCGAGGGAUCAAGCAUCAUGCAUGGUAGGCCUAGGGUGAUUUGUUCGCUAUGCAUUCAUUGUGACCUAUGUUCCUGGACUGCUCAUGUGUCUAUAUAGAAGAUUGCACUCAGCCCCUGGAUCGCAGUAGAAUCUUCCUUGACUAAGCUUAAUUGUCUAUUCUUUGGGUUGGGACAAGGCGCACCUAAGAACCUGACCUCCGCACAAAACUUGUAAGGUUGCAGGCGCAUGCAUCAUCCUCGGCUAUAAUUCGUCUUCCGCCGAUGCAACUAGAGCAGCGAUGACUAGUGUUUUAAUUGUACAAUCAAUAUGUAUCUGUGCCUGAGUCUCUGUAACAUGUGUGGGUUUUUUACUCGACAAAAAUGUUUGUUUUGGCUAUAUGGAUUUGUUGGUAAAUAGGAUACUCUAUGGUCAGGUAGUAUUUUAUCUUUAAUGAGAAGGUUCGAGCAAUUUGUGGCCAAAGCAAUAUUUUAAUUCUAACUUGAGAUUAAUUACUGAUA